CCCUUGAUAGCUCAGUUGGCAGAGUGGAGGACUGUAGAUGUUACAACGGUGAUCCUUAGGUCGCUGGUUCAAAUCCGGCUUGAGGGA
This 87-nucleotide transfer RNA is filed under the name Cordylochernes scorpioides. RNAcentral's name for it is "tRNA-Tyr". It matches the Rfam family "tRNA". Rfam says of the family: Transfer RNA (tRNA) molecules are approximately 80 nucleotides in length. Their secondary structure includes four short double-helical elements and three loops (D, anti-codon, and T loops). Further hydrogen bonds mediate the characteristic L-shaped molecular structure. tRNAs have two regions of fundamental functional importance: the anti-codon, which is responsible for specific mRNA codon recognition, and the 3' end, to which the tRNAs corresponding amino acid is attached (by aminoacyl-tRNA synthetases). tRNAs cope with the degeneracy of the genetic code in two manners: having more than one tRNA (with a specific anti-codon) for a particular amino acid; and 'wobble' base-pairing, i.e. permitting non-standard base-pairing at the 3rd anti-codon position. Lineage: Eukaryota; Metazoa; Arthropoda; Arachnida; Pseudoscorpiones; Chernetidae. The record is from RNAcentral.